This is a long non-coding RNA of Wasmannia auropunctata (little fire ant), 589 nucleotides long. RefSeq lists it as uncharacterized. The transcript is spliced from 4 exons. Lineage: Eukaryota; Metazoa; Arthropoda; Insecta; Hymenoptera; Formicidae. The record is from RefSeq and is a predicted model, not a curated record.
AGAUUUGACUAUAUUUUUUUAUUUCAUUCAAGAUUUAUCUCAAGCUCAAUAUCUUUGGACAGUUUACUUAUUACCAUUUAUCUUUAGUUUGAUAUCGUGAUUAACUUAAUUAAGCGGUUUCAAGUGGAUUCAAUUAAUUGUAAUAAAUUAAUCUAUCGAGUCUGAAUGAAUCUUUUCGGAACGAAUGUGAUGCGUAAAUAAACAAAACGCACGAGAGCGAUUGAUUUCAUUUCGAUACUCGUCCUUAAAAGUCGUAUUGGUUGCAUGUUUUCGUGUAUCACUAGUAAAAUCUCCCAGUGGAUAUGAGUCGACAAUUUCAAUGUCACGAGAUUGCGAAUAAAGAAUAUCUUCAUGUGGUCAAGAGAUAUAUAGAUAUAUAGUUGGGUUUAUAAAUAUCACUCACAAAAAAUGGACAAGAAUGUAGUCGCAGAAUCGCCAGAAAAGAAUUGAAUUUUUUGUGGCGUGAAAAAAUGCUUCCAUCCCUGUUGAUUUAGUAAAUUUUUUUGAUUUGAGAAAACUUUCUCUUUGGAUUGUGUUCCUAUGAAAUUGAAGAAAUUUAAUAAAAUUACAAUAAUUAGAUUAUAUUCUA